UGGAUCCAGACUUUGAUCAUGGCUCAGGAUGAACGCUAGCUACAGGCUUAACACAUGCAAGUCGAGGGGCAGCAUGACGAUAGCUUGCUAUCGUUGAUGGCGACCGGCGCACGGGUGAGUAACGCGUAUCCAACCUGCCCUUGUCCAUCGGAUAACCCGUCGAAAGGCGGCCUAACACGAUAUGCAGUUCUCCGCAGGCAUCUAACGAGAACGAAAUGUGAAGGAGAAGGAUGGGGAUGCGUCUGAUUAGCUUGUUGGCGGGGUAACGGCCCACCAAGGCGACGAUCAGUAGGGGUUCUGAGAGGAAGGUCCCCCACAUUGGAACUGAGACACGGUCCAAACUCCUACGGGAGGCAGCAGUGAGGAAUAUUGGUCGAUGGGCGAGAGCCUGAACCAGCCAAGUAGCGUGCAGGAAGACGGCCCUAUGGGUUGUAAACUGCUUUUAUGCGGGGAUAAAGUGAGCCACGUGUGGCUUAUUGCAGGUACCGCAUGAAUAAGGACCGGCUAAUUCCGUGCCAGCAGCCGCGGUAAUACGGAAGGUCCGGGCGUUAUCCGGAUUUAUUGGGUUUAAAGGGAGCGUAGGCCGUCUGGUAAGCGUGUUGUGAAAUGUCGGGGCUCAACCUGGGCAUUGCAGCGCGAACUGUCAGACUUGAGUGCGCGGGAAGUAGGCGGAAUUCGUCGUGUAGCGGUGAAAUGCUUAGAUAUGACGAAGAACUCCGAUUGCGAAGGCAGCCUGCUGUAGCGCAACUGACGCUGAAGCUCGAAAGCGUGGGUAUCGAACAGGAUUAGAUACCCUGGUAGUCCACGCGGUAAACGAUGGAUGCUCGCUGUUUGCGUCUGACGUAAGCGGCCAAGCGAAAGCGUUAAGCAUCCCACCUGGGGAGUACGCCGGCAACGGUGCAACUCAAAUGAAUUGACGGA
RNAcentral lists this ribosomal RNA (921 nucleotides) under uncultured bacterium. Its description in RNAcentral is "bacterial SSU rRNA". It matches the Rfam family "Bacterial small subunit ribosomal RNA", at positions 1 to 917 of the family's 1533-position model. RNAcentral also lists the same sequence under 1 other name. The record is from RNAcentral.